GGCUGGUCCAAAGGUAGUGAGUUAUCUCACUUGAUUGUUCCCAGUCAGUUACAGAUUGAACUCCUUGUUCUACUCAUUUCCCCUUCUCACUACUGUACUUGACUAGUCUUUA
This 112-nucleotide Y RNA is filed under the name Microcebus murinus (gray mouse lemur). RNAcentral describes it as "Y RNA (ENSMICG00000046153.1)". It matches the Rfam family "Y RNA". From Rfam's summary of the family: Y RNAs are components of the Ro ribonucleoprotein particle (Ro RNP), in association with Ro60 and La proteins. The record is from Rfam by way of RNAcentral. Lineage: Eukaryota; Metazoa; Chordata; Mammalia; Primates; Cheirogaleidae.